RNAcentral lists this ribosomal RNA (497 nucleotides) under uncultured bacterium. Its description in RNAcentral is "partial 16S ribosomal RNA". It matches the Rfam family "Bacterial small subunit ribosomal RNA", at positions 28 to 507 of the family's 1533-position model. The record is from RNAcentral.
GAUGAACGCUGGCGGCGUGCCUAAUACAUGCAAGUCGAGCGAACGGACGAGAAGCUUGCUUCUCUGAUGUUAGCGGCGGACGGGUGAGUAACACGUGGAUAACCUACCUAUAAGACUGGGAUAACUUCGGGAAACCGGAGCUAAUACCGGAUAAUAUUAUGAACCGCAUGGUUCAAAAGUGAAAGACGGUCUUGCUGUCACUUAUAGAUGGAUCCGCGCUGCAUUAGCUAGUUGGUAAGGUAACGGCUUACCAAGGCAACGAUGCAUAGCCGACCUGAGAGCGUGAUCGGCCACACUGGAACUGAGACACGGUCCAGACUCCUACGGGAGGCAGCAGUAGGGAAGCUUCCGCAAUGGGCGAAAUCCUGACGGAGCAACGCCGCGUGAGUGAUGAAGUUCUUCGGAUCGUAAAACUCGGUUAUUAGGGAAGAACAUAUGUGUAAGUAACUGUGCACAUCGUGACGGUACCUAAUCAGAAAGCCACGGCUAACUACGUU